RNAcentral lists this ribosomal RNA (253 nucleotides) under uncultured bacterium. RNAcentral's name for it is "partial 16S ribosomal RNA". It matches the Rfam family "Bacterial small subunit ribosomal RNA", at positions 524 to 776 of the family's 1533-position model. The record is from RNAcentral.
UACGAGGGGGGCGAGCGUUGUUCGGAGUUACUGGGAGUAAAGGGCGCGUAGGCGGCGCACCAAGGCAGGCGUGAAAGCCCUGGGCUCAACCCGGGAAUUGCGCUUGAGACUGGUGUGCUUGAGUACGGGAGAGGAUAGUGGAAUUCCCAGUGUAGAGGUGAAAUUCGUAGAUAUUGGGAAGAACACCGGUGGCGAAGGCGGCUAUCUGGACCGUAACUGACGCUGAGGCGCGAAAGCGUGGGGAGCAAACAGG